This 429-nucleotide ribosomal RNA is filed under the name uncultured bacterium. Its description in RNAcentral is "bacterial SSU rRNA". It matches the Rfam family "Bacterial small subunit ribosomal RNA", at positions 355 to 776 of the family's 1533-position model. The record is from RNAcentral.
UCGAGGAUAUUUAGCAAUGGACGAAAGUCUGACUAUGCGACGCCGCGUGAGGGAUGAAGGUUUUCGGAUCGUAAACCUCUUUCGAUGGGGAAGAAAUGUUUGCCAUAAAUAGUGGCAGAAGCUGACGGUACCCAGAGAAGAAGCCACGGCCAACUCCGUGCCAGCAGCCGCGGUAAUACGGAGGUGGCGAGCGUUACUCGGAUUCAUUGGGUGUAAAGGGCAGGUAGGCGGCUAUGUAAGUUGGAGGUGAAAUCCUUUGGCUCAACCAAAGAACUGCCUUCAAAACUGCAUAGCUUGAGACCAGAAGAGGAGAGCGGAAUUCCCGGUGUAAGAGUGAAAUCUGUAGAUAUCGGGAGGAACACCAGUGGCGAGGGCGGCUCUCUGGUCUGGUACUGACGCUAAACUGCGAAAGCUAGGGGAGCAAACAGG